GAUUCCAGGCCCUGGUGUGGAUCGUCCGAGUCAGCCCCGCCCUCGCCCCGUUGCUGUGUCACGUGCACAUCCUGGGGCCUGGGCCCUCGGCGUGAGGCACGUGCAUUCCGACGGUGGCGUGGAGCAGCCCGCCCGAGGGGCAUGGUCCCGGCCCAGUGGCCCGCACGGCUCAGCCCGCUGUGGGCAGCCCCGCACGGCACAGGGUUCCUCCCCCCUUUUGGGCCGGCAGUGGAUUUGGCCCUCCUGGAAGAGCAGAAAGUGCAGCUUUUGCAAGGGCCUGGGGGAAAUUGAGGGCUCGGCUACAGGGGUGUAGUCACACCACCAUAGCUAUAGUGGUAUCCCUGCCCACGUGGAUGUACCCCGAAAUGUGUCUGUCCGGGGGGAGUUGCACGGCAUAACUUGGGGGGGUACCAGCACGCUGGUGAAUUUCCCCAUGUAGCCACACUUUUAGUCAUUAUGGUUAAGGGCUAACUAGAAAUACCAUGUUAGGAUGACCAGAUAUCCUGAUUUUAUAGGGACAGUCUCGAUGUUUGGGUCUUUUUCUUAUAUAGGUUCCUAUUACCCACCACCCCAAUCCUGAUUUUUUCACACUGGCUGUCUGGUCACCCUACCAUGGAUAGAUGAGUGACCAGGCAGAUAAGUGGGAUAGAAAAGAUGGAUAAGGACAGAUAUGAUGGAUUAAAUAGAUAAAUCCACACCAGUGUUAAUUAAUUUGAUCACUUGCUUUUCAUUACAUCCCAUCUCUCAUAAUUUGUAUGUAGUUCUCUAUAUAGGUUCAACGUGGCCCCUCCUUUUUCCUGCUAUACAAGAUAGUUCAUUCUCUCCAUUGUAUCAGUGCAAAUAAGAGUAAAUUUAUCAAUACAAUCCUUUUUAUGUAAACCAGACAAUGUGCUAUUUUUUUCUUGGAUGAACGCAUGUGUGAUGAAAUGCACCCCUGUAUUCAUACCCUGCACACUAAUCUUUGUACAAAAUAUGCCUUGUAAAGUAUCAUUUGAAAACCGAUAACUUGCUGGUCAAUAAUAUGGCAAAAUGUAUGUAACAACAUUAUAUGUAAAAUUAUGAACAUAAGAUGAAAUUGCAACUGAAGUGUGUUUACCAGACAAGUCUGGGAAGUAGGUAAACCUGUUUCUCAAAGACAAAGGACAAGUUUGUCUAGUCAGGUGUCAUCAAAGCUUAUGGGCAGUCACCUAUCAAGUGGCCAUUCUUUGGCAUUGAAGGGGGGUAAGGCAAGAGACAAACAGAUCUGCAGCUUAGCAAACAGAGGUGAACAGCAACAGCAUAACAUCUCUUCUCCCACCAGACUCCAUAUCUCCUUAUUCUCAGCUGAAAAGAAUUCUAUCUAGGGGGUCACUCUCAGGAAAAUGCAUUUCAAAGGGUGACUGAACUAUAAAAGUGAGGGGCAAAAAAACCCCAAGUUAUCUCUCCCUUUCCAUUUCUCUUUUUGCAACUAAGACGACAAAAGAAACAGCCGUUGGACCUUGGGAGUAGAUCCAGACCUAAAAUUUGGUCAUGAAUGCUACUGAAAACCUUGUGAGCACAUUAAUCCACCCCCUUCAGAUGGCUGCAAUCCUUUGCUCCAGUACAUCACUGAAUAGCUCCUCAAGAACUUCCCUGGGUGUUUAGCCUGACCUACCGAGAAGGAAGAGACAGACUUGUGGAUUGUGAAUGUUGGGAAUAUUAAGCACCAGCUAUGAAAAGAUUUAAGCGUUCUCAAUGAAACCUCACUCCCCUCCUCCAAAUCCCUCCUUAAGACUCACUUCUCUUGACUAGCUUUCCAAUGUUAAUCUCAAUUCCACCACCUCUACCCUCUGACUGACUUCCUCAAACUAACAUUAUAUUUUAAACUUUAAAAA
Molecule: non-coding RNA, 1853 nt
Organism: Chrysemys picta bellii (western painted turtle)
Lineage: Eukaryota; Metazoa; Chordata; Testudines; Emydidae
Source: RefSeq, a predicted model, not a curated record